RNAcentral lists this long non-coding RNA (496 nucleotides) under Anas platyrhynchos platyrhynchos (common mallard). Its description in RNAcentral is "lncRNA (ENSAPLG00000020757.1)". The record is from RNAcentral. Lineage: Eukaryota; Metazoa; Chordata; Aves; Anseriformes; Anatidae.
CUGCGUUAGUUGUCUGGAUGCCCAAUAUGAUACGUGGGGGAUCCCUAAAACACUUUUAAUCUCAUCCUAAAAUUGAUAUCCAAGUGGGCCAUUUGUUCAUGUUUCUUUUUUCUGAAAGCAAAGGGAGGCAAGACCAACUGACUCACAUCUGGAUGCCUGCACUGCAUGAAUCUUCAUGUUUAGGUGAUAUGGACACCAAUGGGAGUGAUAUGGCUAAUAUCCCAUCCGGCUGCAUUUGCUCUCAUCCCCAGUGCUGUGGUACUCAUUUAUAGCCAAGUUGACUGGAAGUGAUGCUUGGAAUGAGUCCAGGAAAAGGCAUGAACUCACACCUCUGGAUCCAUACCAAGACACCUUCACUGCUCUAUCAUCAUUCUCCUCAGAGGGAUGUAAUGAGGAUACAUUAAUUAAUGUUUAUGAACUGCUUCAGUGCUGCCAUAUUUAGACUGUUAAAGUUGCAUCUGUAGGAAUAAAACCACAGUCAGUAAUUCUACCUGCA